RNAcentral lists this long non-coding RNA (384 nucleotides) under Marmota monax (woodchuck). The record is from RNAcentral. Lineage: Eukaryota; Metazoa; Chordata; Mammalia; Rodentia; Sciuridae.
UGGGAUUUCAGGAAGGUACCACCAUAUCAGCUUGGAAUUUAGAUCUUAAAAUAACAAUUUAUUUAUAUUCAAAAACUAAGCACUCAUUUAAUAACAAAAGGGCACAAAGUAGUUUUGAAUGUGGGGGAGAGGCAUGGUUCCCAGUCUGGAAGUUUUCUUUCCCUGUGUCCUAAACUCCAGUAAUUUUACAAUCUUUCCAGUUAUUCUUGCUGUUAGACUCCAGAUUUUCUUGAGAGUUUCAUUAGUUUCCAUAAUCUUUAAAAGAAAAGUGGGUAUUUGACAUGCAUUAAAAUGUAGUAUUCCCUAGCCAGCACUCUCUAGGGUUGUACAAGCUACACAAUUCAUCUUAUAAUUCAGAGCCAAAGCCAACUGUCUCUUUCUUGU